AACCCGAUUUACAGCCCAGAAACCACCCGUGCGACCUGCCUUUUCUUUUUCCCUUCCACUGCUGCUGUCUCCGGCCGUAAUUUUCACAUCAUUAUCUUCCUCUCUUCAAGAGCAACACAUCCACACCAUUUUUCUGCUUUUUCGAGCCAAACGGUGAACGAUCGGACGUUUCCUAAGGUUGUGGAGGUACCUAAUGUCUCAUGGGAUGUUAUUGGUGAAUUGGACAAUGUCAAAAGAGAACUUCAAGAGGAUAAAAAUUCAAUCUUGGGCUACAAAUGCUCAACUUGGUUGAUUACAGCGGCUAUGGCUGGUUGCUUCUUAUGAAUAUUGGCUAAAGGCCUUAAGCAUUUUUAGUGGAGAAAUAAGUUAAUGGUGCACUUCAGGAAGUCAGAGAAGAGUUUUCAGGCUUGCAAUCGCUGUUAAGGGUCCAAAGGACAAGUCUCCUAGGGCAAAACAUUUAGGGGAAAAAAAGAGCAAACAGAAAAAGAAGAGAUUCAAAGGAAGAAAGAAAAGGGGAGAGAGGAAGAAACAGAAGAAAUGAAAACAAGUGGCUCUCCAUCUCGGUAUUUAAUUUUAUGUUCGGCAAAUCAUGUAUUGAAAUUGGAUUUAUCAUACUAUCUGGUAGAGGCCAGGGCUACACAAAAUUCUCAGCCCUGGCGUAAUGAGCAUGAGGUAUAGGAAGGAAGCGUAGUGCUUAUUAAAUGUGUUUUUGGUUUUUGGAUUUUUUUAUGCUGUUAUGGACAUUGUUUGAUGACUCGAUUUGUAUGUGUUGUGCUCAUUUAAAAUAUUUUGCUGGACCAGCUUUUGCAAUCUGUAAAAUAAUAGGGGUGUGAAAUUUGCACAACCAAAUUUACAAACCACACACCCUUUUAUUUUUUUAAUAA
This is a long non-coding RNA of Rosa chinensis, 884 nucleotides long. RefSeq lists it as uncharacterized. The record is from RefSeq and is a predicted model, not a curated record. NCBI's taxonomy places the organism in Eukaryota, Viridiplantae, Streptophyta, Magnoliopsida, Rosales, Rosaceae. The transcript is spliced from 5 exons.